UGCAUAUAUACUUAAAUAGUAUUUGAAAGCUACCCAUCUGUGUUUAGAAUGACACUUGUAAAUUUACUGUGGGUUUGCAAUACAGAUGUGUCAGGUGCUCUACUAAGCCGUGUGGUUGUUAUUUGCGGCUUUGCUGAAUGUGACAGCAUUUUAAGGCUAACUUAUAGAGACCACCAAAUUGAAACAAAUAGUAAAAACAUUUCAUUGGCUAGAACAAUUACUCGAAGAUCAGCAAUAAGACACCAACUGCAAGGGCACAUUAUAUUAAAAACGGUCAACAUGGAACUUCUAUAUACCAUACUUGUAUGCAUUCUUUAUACUGUUUCCUGCCAGGAAUUAAAGUCCCUUAUACGAUCGAUGGGAAAAACAGCUAAAUUCACUUGUGGUGUUGAUGGUGUUCAGGUCAUACAUCAAGGUCUUCACUGGUAUCAUCAAGAUAGCAACGACAUUAUUAAAUGGCUAUUGUUCUAUAAACCUGGGAAGAUGGAAGCUGUCAGUGAAUAUAAAACAAGGAUAUCACUGGAAAUUGCCUCAGAGAGUUCUUGCACCCUGAGCAUUACGAACAUUAAGCCCAUGGAUGAGGGCAUUUACUUCUGUGCAGCCUGGCAGAACACCACUGUCUUAUACCUACAUUAGGAAAUAAUUCAAGUUCUGUCUAAGGGUUUGUAGUCAUUUCCCGUGUUUUGUGGUCAGUUUACAAAAGACGGGUUAUUUUAUACAUUGCAUUAAAGACAUGUCUACAAUGAUUAUAUAUUCUUAUUUCCGCAUAAUGUUAGUUAUAUCAGUAUUUUUUAUUCAUAUGGUUGCUUUAGGCUGAAAACACACAUCAUGAAGAAAUUUGAGGUUGAUGCAGUUUUUUGAGCCAAAACAAGAAAUAUUUGCAGCAGAAGGUGAAUUUCUCAUUCUUAUGGAAACCACAUCUGGCGCUGAAUUAAAAACUACACCAAGCAAAUUCUAUAGACAUUGAUUCUUUUUACUAGUGUUUGGUAAUACCUUUACUAACCCAUUUUUCGUUCUCAUAACCCCUUCAACAACUUUACUUUAAUAGGCUGAUUUUAGUCUGUUUAGAAUUUUUUUUUCAAAUUUGUUUUAUUUUUGCUUCGAUAUUAUUUUCAUUUUACUCUACAUUUUGUUAAAUCUGUUUAUCAUUCAUAUCUUCCUUUUUUUUUUGUUUAAGUGAUGUUUCUCAAAGAUGUAAAAAUAGAAAAGCUAUGGACAUUAAAGCUUUGCAGUAAUGGAAUGUAUAUUUAUGAUUCAACUCAUUUAUUUCUAUGGUGCUAAAAUGAAUGUAUUAGAACUUUCUGCAUAUUGAAAAAAGUCAAUCCUAUAAAUAAAAAGUGACAAAAAAGAAACAGAAAUGUAAAUAAAUCA
Molecule: non-coding RNA, 1371 nt
Organism: Hyla sarda
Lineage: Eukaryota; Metazoa; Chordata; Amphibia; Anura; Hylidae
Source: the annotation of a RefSeq genome assembly